CAAGGAGCAGCCUGAUUACUCCUCCCACAGCCUCCUGGCUGAAGGAAAAUUAACCCUCAGGCUGCAGCUGUAUUUCAUCUUGAAUGACAGGAAGGGAGGGCAGAUCCCAGCCAUUUUUCAUGUCCUGCCCAACUGCUGCUUUCAGUGAUUUUUUUUUUCGUACAUGCAAUUGGAAGAUAAAUAACUGCCCCUUAUCCACCUAAGGAGAGGUGAGCUGUUACAGAAUUAUUCCUAAAUGUGUGUUGUUACCAUAUUAUCUUCAGCUUUGCAAUUUUAAAUCAGUCACUCAACUUUUUCACUUUAAUUCUAAAUAACUCACAAAAAUAUAUGAAAAAGAAGAAAUUAAUACCAAUUGAGAAUAGUACCCUAACUCCUGGUCAGCAGUGGGUAAAAUGAAAUGAUUUUGUCAGUUUCUAUUCUCAUUGUAUGUUCCUGGAUAACAUACUGAAACCCUGACAUAUCUUGGAAUUACACUUCAGAUUUACUUUGAAGCUUUAGUUUUUCAGACCUUUCCAGUAUCCAUUAGUAGAUAGACAGAACUACACAUGCUGUCUGGGUUCAUGGCUCGUGAUGUCCUUUGUAAAUGUAUUCCUCAAAGUUUCCAGAAGAAAAAGAUACCAGCUGGCUCAGAAAUACUACCAUCAUCUCACUGUGCCAGCUUGAGUAAUGCUCUUGCCAGCAAGCAGCUGGAGGAAAGGAUGAUCAGAGCGAGAUGAAGAAGAUGAGAAAAAAAGUGAAAUCAAAGUUGUUUGUCCCCUAUCACCCCAGCAGUAUCAACACUUUGAAAGGAAAGAGGGAGAGAGAAGAAGUGAAAGACCUCAGAGGACCAGGAGAAACAUCUGAUUUCUUGUCCCUUGUGGCCCUGGCAUAUGGACCCUCAUGAGUAUUGGCCUUUCUGUUCUGCUUUUCAACACGGAUUUGAAACCUCUGGGGAGUCCUUUGUUCUGAUAUGCUGCUGACACCCAGCUGUACAUGUCUUCUGCAACAGAUGUGCUCUCCAGAUGUCAUCAGGACUUAAACAGAAGUUUACAUGGAGCAGCGGCCAGCUACACUUGGCUCCAGAGGAAGAGGAAGCUGAUAAAUGAAGGCAAUGCUCUGGGAAACCUGCCCCAGUGUUGGCUUCAGCUGCUGUCACUGAGGUAGACUGGAAGGUUCUGCACAGACAAAAGAGAGGUUUCUGCACCUUUGCAAUUAGCGAGAGCUUGAACAUGUUCAGUUUGUUGGCCACUGCUAGACUAAGUCAACGCAGGCGUUGGAGGUCUCAAAUCCAUCAGCUGGUCUUACUCUGGGGCGUAAUUAUGAGUGGAACAACCCAAGCUGGCUUUGCUAUUAAAAUUGAACACAUUCCAAGGCGAACCUUGUUUUGAAGCCUGGAUGAGCACAAAACCAAAGGACACUCACAACAAACCUAGCUUGUAUGUGGUCAGUGCAAAGGUCAACACACCAGUUAGACACCUCCCUGGGCAGCACACAGCACACCUUUCAUUUUGUGUGGAGUACCAGAAGAAAUUUGUAGUGUGCAGCUGUAGAACCAUGCAGAAUGUUGCUGAUGGAAUAUUCUUGUUUGGAGAUAUUCAGGAAUGCUUACUGCCUCUUUGGAUAAUACGUUGAGAGCUGGUGAAUGAUGCUGCACAGUAAUAGAACAACUAGCAUAUGUUCUUUCUCUCAAGGCAAAAAAAGUUGGUUAUGCAUCAUUUUUUUUCUACGUCUGCCAUGCAGACUUUGGUGCUGAUAUUCCAGAUUUGUUAGGUAUUUCACUCUGUGGAGACUCGUAAUUAGCUGAGCAAGACAAUUUCCCUUGGCAAAAAAAACCCAAAAAACAAACAAAAAAACAAAAAAGCACAGGAUGAGGUUAAUAUAUCACUUAAAUGUCACCUCUAAUUCAUUUUGAAAGUUUAAAUGGUUUGGUUUUGGAGGAGGGUUGGAGAAGGGGAAAGUAGGUCAAGUUUCUUGUCAGUUUUCUAUUAACAGGUAAAUUCGAUCAUGUUAGCAGUAAUAGAAGGAAGAUAAGAUGAAAAAAAAAACCAAAAAACCCAAACUACGCAGUCGAUACAGCUCACUGUCCAACAGUUAGGACAGUCAGCACUGGACAGAUUGAGGAUGGGUGAAACGAGAAGCUGGGUAGUCUUUUCUUUUUUCCUCUUUUGCUUUGUAAUUUCAUGUGAAAUGACCCAUGUUCCUGCUGUAUCUAAAUGCACUGAUAGUUCAAACAAAACAAAAAUACAAAUGAAGAAAAUGUGGUUCUAGCCCAGAAAUAAUUUAGUGGAGCCAUUCUGAGUUACUGCUGUGCUGUUCUAUUUUCUGUUGUUGCAGCCUCUCAGCCCACCUGGACAUUCCAGCUGCUGGACCAUUUUUUCAUGUCAGUCACCUUCAGACUCCCAUUUUAAACAGUGGGUCUUUUGUUAUCAGAAAUCAACUUCAUCUUCAAAACAGUUAUCUUUUAAAUUACUGUCAUGGAAAGGAGGCGAGGAAGAAGGUUUAUUUUCCAAAUUUUUCUCCUUGCCUUUUAUGAACAAAGACUCUGGGAGGAAAGGCAUCAUUAACACAGCAUCAAAUGAUCCAAAGAAAGAAUAACCUUUUCUCAAAGCAGGGAUGGCUAUUUGAUGAAGAAUUGGCUUAAUUUUUAGCCACCUUCUCCUUUCAGAUGAAAAGCAAUAGAAAUUCAUGUCAAAGAAACCAAUCAUGGUGAAAUCUCUGUCCAAUAGGCAGGCUGUAACAGAAAGGGAUGAUAGCACAAAGGGCUGAAAAAAGCGGCUCUUCUUUCUCUCUUCCUUUUGUUGUGAGCACAAAGAUAAGUGCGUGGCAAUCAGAUGAUUUUAAUGAACAAUCCAGUUGUUUGGCCUGGAUGGUGUAAUUCCAGAUGCAAUCUGUGGAAGUUGUUUGAAUUUGAACUGCUUCCUUUCUAAAUUUUCUCUCCUCUGGCAGCAGCCAGCCCUGAUGCAAUGGAAAUGCCUUCUCUGGAGGGUGCACAUAAAGGUGUGUGAGACAGCAGUUGCAAGAGAAAAUGGUGGGGUUUGUAUUGAAUGCUUUUUUCCUCCACACAAUUUGCAGGGGGUCUCUUCAAUCACAACGUGCUGAACUGCUCUGAUUUUGAGUAAGGAAUUCCAUCUGCACUGAGUAACAUCUGUGGUGAUUAUAGCCCUAAGCUUUAGAGCUAAAAAUGCUACGUGCAUGAAUGUAAAAACAAAAUAUGGUCUUUUUUUUUUUUUUUAAUUACACUUAACAGCUUGUUUUGGUAAUAUGGGUAUGGCAGACAUGAUGUAGAAGUGGGAGACCACUGAGAGGAGUAAUUGAGCACAAUGGCACAAAGAGUUUCAAUUAAUAAGUACAUAGAGAAUCUUCAAUAUUCUGUGACACUAUAUAGUAGCAACAUGAUUGGAGAUGUCAUGAAAAAACUGUUUAUUAGCACUAUGUUUUUUUCCCAAAUGCAUUGAGAGUUCUCUUAAACUUCCCUAGCAGUUCAUAGAAUCACAGAACAGCUGUGUUCAAAGGGACCUAAAAACCCAUCCAGUCCCAAGCCCUGCCAUGUGCUGGGUAACACCCACUAGAUCAGGCUGCCCAGGCCUUGAACAC
Molecule: long non-coding RNA, 3573 nt
Organism: Gallus gallus (chicken)
Lineage: Eukaryota; Metazoa; Chordata; Aves; Galliformes; Phasianidae
Source: Ensembl